RNAcentral lists this long non-coding RNA (632 nucleotides) under Nicotiana tabacum (common tobacco). RNAcentral's name for it is "long non-coding RNA (NTAB_LNC001259)". The record is from RNAcentral. Lineage: Eukaryota; Viridiplantae; Streptophyta; Magnoliopsida; Solanales; Solanaceae.
CAAACCCCAAAGCCAUUACAAACGUUCAACUCUCCCCCCCCCCCCCCAUUUCAAUGAAUAAUAAACAAACAUGCUGAUUAUACUACGACUUUAACCAGGACUUUUAUACAGACUUAAUACCAUCAUCAUGAGCUACGGAACAUAUACCCCUGAACAACUUCAUUAACCAAACACUAUCACAACAAACUUAAACAUAACAAGGAAGAAAUGGACAGGAAGAAAUAGAGUGAAAGCUGAAUAACCUAAAAAAAUAUAGAAACUAAAGCCCCAAACAAAAUAAUCCUCAUUGACUUCAGUAGAAACAUAUCUUCCAUAUAAAACAUAUUCAAGCUCCAUUUGCCAUUCAAGGUUCAAAGGAAUACCUGGAAUAAUAAAAAACAAAUAGCAGAAACUUUCAGCAAAGAAAUUAAAAUAUCAGCAGCUUCUAAACAGCAACAAACAACAGUUCAUCAAUCAGUUUUUUAUGUCUUGAACCCAGAAGAAAAUAGCAAUUUUUCUAGCCUUUAAAACCCAAGAAACAUGAAAAAAUAGCUACAACAGACCAGUAUUUGCCAAUUUUUUGUGUUUUCUUGCUAAUUUCUAAACUUUAGUAGUGAGUGUACCCUUCAGCCGUUUCUAGUUAUUUAGUCUUG